CCGAGCGUAGUCCAACGGCAGAGACAGAGGACUUAAAAUCCUUCCAGUGCGGGUUCGAAUCCCGCCGCUCGGAUCA
RNAcentral lists this transfer RNA (76 nucleotides) under Gloeobacter violaceus PCC 7421. RNAcentral describes it as "trnL-UAA". It matches the Rfam family "tRNA". Rfam says of the family: Transfer RNA (tRNA) molecules are approximately 80 nucleotides in length. Their secondary structure includes four short double-helical elements and three loops (D, anti-codon, and T loops). Further hydrogen bonds mediate the characteristic L-shaped molecular structure. tRNAs have two regions of fundamental functional importance: the anti-codon, which is responsible for specific mRNA codon recognition, and the 3' end, to which the tRNAs corresponding amino acid is attached (by aminoacyl-tRNA synthetases). tRNAs cope with the degeneracy of the genetic code in two manners: having more than one tRNA (with a specific anti-codon) for a particular amino acid; and 'wobble' base-pairing, i.e. permitting non-standard base-pairing at the 3rd anti-codon position. Lineage: Bacteria; Bacillati; Cyanobacteriota; Cyanophyceae; Gloeobacterales; Gloeobacteraceae. The record is from RNAcentral.